This 84-nucleotide transfer RNA is filed under the name Planctomycetota bacterium. Its description in RNAcentral is "Planctomycetes bacterium tRNA-Lys". It matches the Rfam family "tRNA". Rfam says of the family: Transfer RNA (tRNA) molecules are approximately 80 nucleotides in length. Their secondary structure includes four short double-helical elements and three loops (D, anti-codon, and T loops). Lineage: Bacteria; Pseudomonadati; Planctomycetota. The record is from RNAcentral.
GGACGGGUACCCUAGUGGCCAAAGGGACUGGACUUUUAAUCCGGCGCAAUUGCUUCGUGGGUUCGAAUCCCGCCCCGUCCUCUA